RNAcentral lists this ribosomal RNA (468 nucleotides) under uncultured bacterium. RNAcentral describes it as "partial 16S ribosomal RNA". It matches the Rfam family "Bacterial small subunit ribosomal RNA", at positions 28 to 507 of the family's 1533-position model. The record is from RNAcentral.
GACGAACGCUGGCGGCGUGCUUAACACAUGCAAGUCGAACGGAAAGGCCCUGCUUUUGUGGGGUGCUCGUGUGGCGAACGGGUGAGUAACACGUGAGUAACCUGCCCUUGACUUUGGGAUAACUUCAGGAAACUGGGGCUAAUACCGGAUAGGAGCUCCUGCUGCAUGGUGGGGGUUGGAAAGUUUCGGCGGUUGGGGAUGGACUCGCGGCUUAUCAGCUUGUUUGUGGGGUAGUGGCUUACCAAGGCUUUGACGGGUAGCCGGCCUGAGAGGGUGACCGGCCACAUUGGGACUGAGAUACGGCCCAGACUCCUACGGGAGGCAGCAGUGGGGAAUAUUGCACAAUGGGCGGAAGCCUGAUGCAGCAACGCCGCGUGCGGGAUGACGGCCUUCGGGUUGUAAACCGCUUUCGCCUGUGACGAAGCGUGAGUGACGGUAAUGGGUAAAGAAGCACCGGCUAACUACGUG